UACGGAGGGUGCGAGCGUUGUCCGGAAUCACUGGGCGUAAAGGGCGCGUAGGUGGCUUCUCAAGCGCGCGGUGAAAGCCCGGGGCUCAACCCCGGGUCGGCCGUGCGGACUGGGAGGCUCGAGCACUGUAGGGGCGGGUGGAAUUCCGGGUGUAGCGGUGGAAUGCGUAGAGAUCCGGAAGAACACCGGUGGCGAAGGCGGCCUGCUGGGCAGUAGCUGACACUGAGGCGCGACAGCGUGGGGAGCAAACAGG
RNAcentral lists this ribosomal RNA (253 nucleotides) under uncultured bacterium. RNAcentral's name for it is "partial 16S ribosomal RNA". It matches the Rfam family "Bacterial small subunit ribosomal RNA", at positions 524 to 776 of the family's 1533-position model. The record is from RNAcentral.